GGCCGACGGAUGCUAGAGGUAGGAAUCGAGAAACCGCGGAAAUUUGACGCAUCGACGUGUACGCUCAGAAGUGCGACGGGGACGCUCGGAAGGUCGCCGAUUUUCUACGCGUGGAGUAUGCGUGAGAGAGAAAAAGAAAGAGAGAGAGAGAGAGAGAGAGAGAGAGAGAGAGAGAGAGAACGCGUCUCUCGAGACAAAAUGGCGAUCGAAAGCGCGACGGUGCUCUUAGCAGAUAGGAAGCUCCCCAAUGUCGCAGGUUCUACCUACGCAUACACGUUCGCGCUUGCGUGUAUAUUUUUAAGCGUUGUACGUAUACGACUUUUCAGGAAUGUAUAUAAGUACACAGACAUGUAUUGAGGCAUAGUGAAAGCAGCUGCACGUUGUCCAAUACUCUCGUGAAUGCGCGUUGCCGACCUUGCUCGUCGAUCUUCUCUCUAUACUUCCCUUUGUGUUUCUCGAAAAAUUCUAUUUUGAAAACAUCGAAAAAAAGAAAGCAAGAAACGAAAACAAAACAAUAAUAAUAAUAAUAAUAAUAAUAAUAAUAAUAAAAAUAAGUAUUCGAACGAAGAGAGGCAAAUUCGGACUUACGGUGCAAAACGCAAUCCCAUCCUCUUGCGUAAUAUCACCAUAUAUUUUUACAUAACGCGUUAUUGAAACGUAGACUUAAUUUUUUCGCACGUAUCAUGUGUGAAUAUUUUGAUAACAUGAAAUAAAAAAGAAAAACGAAAAAGGAAAAAGAAAAAGGAAAAAAGAAAAAAAAAAGAAAGAGAGAAAACAAGAAAGGAAUUCAAAUUUUUGCCUAACUUAUCUAAAUAUUAUUUUAGAAUUAAGAAAUUCGAAUUCUUUUCACGUGAUCGAAUCUUCACCGAUUUCCAAACUCUUAGACUCAUAAACAUACGUAAAUAUAAUACAAAAAAAGGAAGAUGUUUAUAUUGCACUUGGAAUAUGCAUUAACGCCUGUUCGAAGAAAAGAAAAGAAAAGAAAGGAAAAGAAAAGAAAAGAAAAGAAAAGAGAAAAGAAGAAAAGAGAAAAAGAGAUAAAUAGAUAGAUAGAUAAAGAGAAAGAAAGAGAGAAUGAGAGGUGGGGGAGAGAGGAAAAGCUAGCGUGCAACAGGUUGGUAUGACGCCUUCCAAGAGUGUGUAGGGAAAGGGCAGAGGAGGAGUGAGAAAGCGAAUGGUUGAAUGAGUGAGGGUAACAGAAGGACGGAGCUGAAGCUAAAGUUAAAGCUCAAUUUAAAGAGAGAAAGAGAAAGAGAGAGAUGAAUAUUAUAUAUAUAUAUAUAUAUAUAUAUAUAUAUAUAUAU
This is a long non-coding RNA of Vespula pensylvanica (western yellowjacket), 1304 nucleotides long. RefSeq lists it as uncharacterized. Lineage: Eukaryota; Metazoa; Arthropoda; Insecta; Hymenoptera; Vespidae. The record is from RefSeq and is a predicted model, not a curated record. The transcript is spliced from 3 exons.